UAGCAGAAUUAGAGAUUGCUGAGGUCAAGGUCAUACAGAUGACAUCAUAAAAUAAGUUCUUUUGAUCUGUUCGGAGCCGACACAUUUGACAAACUGACAGAACAAACAGAAGAUACAAAGAAUGAAAGUUUUAAUACUUUGUUUAGUUACUCUCGUUGUGGUGUCAGCCGGUGUUGUUGACAUUAAAAGACAGGACUGCGUUGAACACUGCACUCCAAGUACUAAUGAAGGAUGUCACCCCUACCAGAUAUGUAUCGCCAAUCACGCCGUUGGGUGUGGUACUUCAUGCCAUUACAUACUGCCAGGGAAACGGGCCAUCUGUUUAGGCGCCAUGUGCAAUGUGUAUUGCCCCUAUGGACACAAGCUCUCAGCAGACGGAUGUCCAAUGUGUGCUUGUAAUCCUGGUCCAGUUGUUUGAUCGCCCACUUUACAAUUACACUGUAAAUACAAAACAUUUGACAAGUGACAAACCUGAA
Molecule: long non-coding RNA, 476 nt
Organism: Biomphalaria glabrata
Lineage: Eukaryota; Metazoa; Mollusca; Gastropoda; Planorbidae
Exons: 3
Source: RefSeq, a predicted model, not a curated record